RNAcentral lists this ribosomal RNA (433 nucleotides) under uncultured bacterium. Its description in RNAcentral is "partial 16S ribosomal RNA". It matches the Rfam family "Bacterial small subunit ribosomal RNA", at positions 29 to 507 of the family's 1533-position model. The record is from RNAcentral.
AACGAACGCUGGCGGCAUGCCUAACACAUGCAAGUCGAACGAGACCUUCGGGUCUAGUGGCGCACGGGUGCGUAACGCGUGGGAACCUGCCCUUAGGUGCGGAAUAACUCCCCGAAAGGGGUGCUAAUACCGGAUAAUGUCUUCGGACCAAAGAUUUAUCGCCGUUGGAUGGGCCCGCGUUGGAUUAGCUAGUUGGUAGGGUAAAAGCCUACCAAGGCGACGAUCCAUAGCUGUUCUGAGAGGAUGAUCAGCCACACUGGGACUGAGACACGGCCCAGACUCCUACGGGAGGCAGCAGUGGGGAAUAUUGGACAAUGGGCGAAAGCCUGAUCCAGCAAUGCCGCGUGAGUGAUGAAGGCCUUAGGGUUGUAAAGCUCUUUUACCCGGGAUGAUAAUGACAGUACCGGGAGAAUAAGCACCGGCUAACUCCGUG